This 439-nucleotide ribosomal RNA is filed under the name Dichostereum pallescens. Its description in RNAcentral is "partial small subunit ribosomal RNA". The record is from RNAcentral. Lineage: Eukaryota; Fungi; Basidiomycota; Agaricomycetes; Russulales; Lachnocladiaceae.
CUAGCUAACUGAAAUCUCAUUGGGUUUUAGGNCAAAAGAAAUCUAUAAUUUAACGGCAUAUAGCGGGUUACUUAAGAUAAGGUUAGGGAUAAUUAUGAUAUUACCUUUCUAUAGUGUUGUCAAAAGUUGUUUUGUGUUGUGGGAAAACACAUGAGCGGCUUAAACUAUCAAACUCCGGGGACACCCUAAAGCUUCAAAUACCAAACUAUCUCCGAAAGGUUUUACGUGGAUGAAUUAAUUACUCAUGUAUGGUAAUAAGUUUGAAGAUGAGUGAAAACGAAAUGGGUUAUCGCGGAUCUAAGUCAACCAAAUUGGUUGUAAAAGAGCAACGAGUAGACGGUAGUUGGUUUCUAAAUAGAAGAUUUAUUUUAAAUAGAAACUUAAGGUGUACUCUANUGGGCUUCGAAAGAAGUUAUCCAGUUCNAAUCCCUNCUNACCA